CUCCCCUUCCAUUUUCCCCUCGCGAGCAGAUGCGCACGGGCCUUCCGGGGGACGUGCUUCGUCUGCUCGUCAAACAACGAACCCCGGCGCAAAACGCGCCAAGGAAAAAUUGAACAAAGAGCGCACGUCCCCUGCCCGUUUUUCGGGUGGUGUUGGCGUACGCAAUCUUUCAUAUAACUGAACGACUCUCGGCAACGGAUAUCUCGGCUCUUGCAUCGAUGAAGAACGUAGCGAAAUGCGAUACUUGGUGUGAAUUGCAGAAUCCCGUGAACCAUCGAGUCUUUGAACGCAAGUUGCGCCUGAAGCCAUUAGGUUGAAGGCACGUCUGCCUGGGCGUCACGCAUUGCGUCACCCACUCCCCCGUGCCUAAGAGGGCAUGCCGGUGCGUGGGCGGAUAUUGGCCCCCCGUUCACAUCCGUGCUCGGUCGGCCUAAAAAACGGGUCCCCAAUGACGGACAUCACGACAAGUGGUGGUUGCCAAACCGUCGCGUCAUGUCGUGCAUGCCAUCGUCUGUUGCGGGUUGGCCCAUCGACCCUGGAGUGCCACGGCA
RNAcentral lists this ribosomal RNA (551 nucleotides) under Gaultheria borneensis. RNAcentral's name for it is "eukaryotic LSU rRNA". The stretch from base 184 to 339 matches the Rfam family "5.8S ribosomal RNA". Lineage: Eukaryota; Viridiplantae; Streptophyta; Magnoliopsida; Ericales; Ericaceae. The record is from RNAcentral.